UAACAUAUGGUGUAGUUUGAGGUCAAUGGUCAACAGCUAAACAAAGUAAAAUAAUGAAUUCUACAUGGGAAAUGAGCUCAUGUAUAAAUUAGAACUUGGUAUGUGGAUGGCUAAUGGUCAUAGCAUGCCCGUUUAAACACAGGUUCACAUGCUAGAAAGGAAGUGGAACCCGCUAAAAUCCACCAAGAAAAAAAAAGCUAAACCCGGGACUCAACCACGGCUUUAAGACUGUCAGCAGAUCUUGGACCAGAUGACUGCGUUGAGAGAACUGUUUCCUAAUGGUGACAAGACAAUAAUAAUAUGCACGGAUGCUUCUGAUUUCCCUCUGUGAAGUGUGAACGAAGGCUCUUGAUUUCAUGCAAGAUCCUAUUGUUUCAGGCAAUGCAAGCCUUUGUUGGGGGUGAAAGAACAUCGGGUGGAUAGUUUCUACCAAAAUUUGUUGGAUGUAGGUGAUGUUGUACCGGAUCUCACAAAAUCAGUGGAAAAGGUAGAAAGGGCUCAUGUUCCAUAACAUGUAUAAAGCAUAUUGAAAAGGGCUAUAGCAUGCAAUUUCGGAAAUGAAUGCAUCAUUAAAGAAAUAUUUUCAACCACAUGCAACUAAUAAGGCUUUCUAUUUUUUACAAUAUGUCAUGCCGUCAGCCCAAAAAUCAUGAAAUGCAAUUUAAGAGUGAAAGGCAAGUCUGGUGACGUUAUGCCGACUAUUAUUGUUUCAAUUAUUAUUGUAAUCAUUAUUUUUUAUAUGUUUUUCUGCAUAUGUGAUCCCAAGUUGGAUUAAAACUGCACUUUAGAUGGUCAAAGACUCAAGAAAUUCCAUAUUCUUGGUGACUUAUUAACGGUUCGGUCAAAAAAUGCCAAUAGAGGUUGACAGCGCGUCGUGUUAUUUAUGAACAUAACACAAAUGAUUCUCAUGUCGUUUGAUACAUUGCGUACCCGCGGGUAGAGAGAUGGUUUCCUUACUUGAACGUUUAUUUCUUUCAAAUGAUUAUUUCAACAAUUUUAAGUUAUAUAUUUGUGUGUUAAGC
Molecule: long non-coding RNA, 1022 nt
Organism: Helianthus annuus (common sunflower)
Lineage: Eukaryota; Viridiplantae; Streptophyta; Magnoliopsida; Asterales; Asteraceae
Exons: 3
Source: RefSeq, a predicted model, not a curated record